AGCAGCCGCGGUAAUUCCAGCUCCAAUAGCGUAUAUUAAAGUUGUUGCAGUUAAAAAGCUCGUAGUUGAAUUUCGGGGUCAGUAGGUCGGUCGUGCCACUGGUAUGAACUGGUCUCACUGAUUCCUCCCUCUUGUAGAACCGUGAUGCCAUUAAUUUGGUGUUGCGGGGAAACAGGACUGUUACUUUGAAAAAAUUAGAGUGUUUAAAGCAAGCUAACGCUUGAAUACAUUAGCAUGGAAUAAUGAAAUAGGACGUCUGUCUUAUUUUGUUGGUUUCUAGGAUGGACGUAAUGAUUAAUAGGGAUAGUUGGGGGCAUUAGUAUUCAAUUGUCAGAGGUGAAAUUCUUGGAUUUAUUGAAGACUAACUACUGCGAAAGCAUUUGCCAAGGAUGUUUUCAUUAAUCAAGAACGAAAGUUAGGGGAUCGAAGACGAUCAGAUACCGUCGUAGUCUUAACCAUAAACUAUGCCGACUAGGGAUCGGAUGAUGUUAAUUUUUAAUGACUCAUUCGGCGCCUUAAC
RNAcentral lists this ribosomal RNA (520 nucleotides) under uncultured Glomus. RNAcentral's name for it is "SSU rRNA". It matches the Rfam family "Eukaryotic small subunit ribosomal RNA", at positions 569 to 1092 of the family's 1831-position model. Lineage: Eukaryota; Fungi; Glomeromycota; Glomeromycetes; Glomerales; Glomeraceae. The record is from RNAcentral.